CCUACGGGAGGCUGCAGUGGGGAAUAUUGGACAAUGGGCGAAAGCCUGAUCCAGCCAUGCCGCGUGUGUGAAGAAGGCCUUCGGGUUGUAAAGCACUUUCAGUGGGGAAGAAAGCCUUGGGGCUAAUACCCUCGAGGAAGGACAUCACCCACAGAAGAAGCACCGGCUAACUCCGUGCCAGCAGCCGCGGUAAUACGGAGGGUGCGAGCGUUAAUCGGAAUUACUGGGCGUAAAGCGCGCGUAGGCGGUCUGAUAAGCCGGUUGUGAAAGCCCCGGGCUCAACCUGGGAACGGCAUCCGGAACUGUCAGGCUAGAGUGCAGGAGAGGAAGGUAGAAUUCCCGGUGUAGCGGUGAAAUGCGUAGAGAUCGGGAGGAAUACCAGUGGCGAAGGCGGCCUUCUGGACUGACACUGACGCUGAGGUGCGAAAGCGUGGGUAGCAAACAGGAUUAGCUACCCGUGUAGUC
Molecule: ribosomal RNA, 465 nt
Filed under: Vreelandella stevensii
Lineage: Bacteria; Pseudomonadati; Pseudomonadota; Gammaproteobacteria; Oceanospirillales; Halomonadaceae
Description: partial 16S ribosomal RNA
Rfam family: Bacterial small subunit ribosomal RNA
Source: RNAcentral